Molecule: long non-coding RNA, 264 nt
Organism: Pogonomyrmex barbatus (red harvester ant)
Lineage: Eukaryota; Metazoa; Arthropoda; Insecta; Hymenoptera; Formicidae
Source: RefSeq, a predicted model, not a curated record
CUCUGCAUUUCGACUGCUAAAGAUAGCGACAGCUAUAUCGUUCUCCUCCAUUAAUUAUAUGCGUGAUACUAUUAUAGUGUUAUGUAGCCCUCAAGAUACGCUACAAGAAUAUGUAAUAAAAAAUAGAGGUUUCCAUUUAAAAAAACAUUAAUGACCUUGACCUUGAUUUUGACAAGGUCACUCAAGGUCAAAUCCACAUUUCCAUCCCCCUUCAAAUCAUGCAACUUUCAUUCGAAAAAUUUUUUAAUAAAAUCAUCGAUUCGC